CAGCAGCCGCGGUAAUACGUAGGGUGCGAGCGUUAAUCGAAAUUACUGGGCGUAAAGCGAGCGCAGACGGUUAUUUAAGCAGGAUGUGAAAUCCCCGGGCUUAACCUGGGAACUGCGUUCUGAACUGGAUAGCUAGAGUGUGUCAGAGGGGGGUAGAAUUCCACGUGUAGCAGUGAAAUGCGUAGAGAUGUGGAGGAAUACCGAUGGCGAAGGCAGCCCCCUGGGCCAAUACUGACGCUCAUGCACGAAAGCGUGGGGAGCAAACAGGAUUAGAUACCCGUGUAGUCCCUGUCUCUUAUAC
This 301-nucleotide ribosomal RNA is filed under the name uncultured bacterium. Its description in RNAcentral is "partial 16S ribosomal RNA". It matches the Rfam family "Bacterial small subunit ribosomal RNA", at positions 509 to 807 of the family's 1533-position model. The record is from RNAcentral.